RNAcentral lists this ribosomal RNA (440 nucleotides) under uncultured bacterium. RNAcentral's name for it is "partial 16S ribosomal RNA". It matches the Rfam family "Bacterial small subunit ribosomal RNA", at positions 338 to 795 of the family's 1533-position model. The record is from RNAcentral.
CCUACGGGUGGCAGCAGUGGGGAAUAUUGCACAAUGGGGGAAACCCUGAUGCAGCGACGCCGCGUGAGUGAAGACGUAUUUCGGUAUGUAAAGCUCUGUCAGCCGGGAAGAAAAUGACGGUACCUGACCACGCAGCCCCGGAUAACUACGUACCAGCAGCCGCGGUAAUACGUAGGGGGCAAGCGUUAUCCGGAUUGACUGGGGGUAAAGGGGGCGUAGACGGGAGGGCAAGUCUGGAGUGAAAGGCGGGGGCUCAACCCCCGGACUGCGGUGGAAACUGCCGGGCUGGAGUGCAGGAGAGGUAAGUGGAAUGCGUGGUGUAGCGGUGAAAUGCGUAGAUAUUAGGAGGAACACCAGUGGCGAAGGCGGCUUACUGGACUGUAACUGACGUUGAGGCUCGAAAGCGUGGGGAGCAAACAGGAUUAGAUACCCGGGUAGUC